AGAUGUCUAUGAUACAAUACACAGCUUGUCCUUCAGCCCUGAACGUCACCUGCAUGAAUAACUCAUUAACUCAAAACAGACACCACGUUCCAGUGGGUGAUUGAGGAAACUUGAAUGAAGAGGCUUCUUACAAAUGGGUCAGCAGGGUUUCUGGAAACCAAGAAGAAAUACUUGAACUCAAAACCCAGCAAGAACGGGAAGUCAUAGCCCCUGCCGGGCCUGGAGGGUACGGAGAGGGAAGGCUGACCCCAGCCCAGGGGCAGAAGAGUCGGAGGAGAGGGUCUCAUGACAGCGGCUGUGGUCUCGGGAGAGAAACUCACUCAGCUGAUAGCGACCCACGCAGAGGAAUCUGGGGACACCUCCUGAGAGGAGCACCGAAAUCUCCAAUUGCAACCAGUUCCCCCUCCUGUGUUAUAUGACCUGCAAAGCGCUCCAGGCUGUUUCAGGAUAGUCUGACUUUUUUCUUUUCUUUCAUAAUUCUGUGCUGUCAGUGUGCUGUGUCUAAAAAUGAUCAUUUCAUAUGUAUUUGUCCAGUCUUUUAGUUAUUUUUAGGAGAAGAUUACUUAGGGACCUGUUGUUCAUCAUGGCUGGACGUACUGGGGAAUCUAAUUGCUCACUUGGCUUUCUCAGGCACAGACAAUGGAGCUGACAAGCUGUCACACUGACCUGUCUCUUUGAUGGGAAGACAGUGGCUUAAACUCUGAACAUCCCCCUCGUCACAGGAGCCCGUAUUUACAUGUGACAUCACCUUCUUAAACCUUGUCAAAGCGCCUUGCUCUGAUCUCCUGACCUCCGGUGCAAACGUCUUUCCUCCAAUCACAGUCAGCUGGUCAGCCUUCACCAGGCAUCCCCCACCUCCUAUUCAGCUUUCCCCGCUUUCUGCUGGUUCUCUGUUCUUUGUGAUCAAUAGGCUAUUUUUACAAGCUCUUACCUUCAGAACUGCCCGUUAACAUGAUCCCAGGCUCGGUUGCUUUGCUACAUAAACUUUCUCUGCUUAAUACCAGGGUCACUAGGCAUUUGCAGAAAUCAAAUCAGAAGUGAUGAAAAGUGAAUGUUAUGAACGAUGGCCAUUUGGCCUUGUAGUCAGCAGAAAGCAGGCAUUCAAGGUUAUUAAUCACACAACAGUGUUUCCUGGAGGAUAGCUAAUGUCAAGGCAUGCAGCGCACCGUGGCAUGAUCGUCGGGCUUGAGGAGGGUCGCCAGGGAAACAGAUCCACCACGUUUCCUUCAAGUUCACCUAAAGUUACUGAUGAAUGGAAUGAAGAAAAUAAUAGAGACAAAUCUAUUGUUUUUAACCUUGGGUCUGCCUUGUUCUGAGAAACUCAUUUUUCCUUCCUGUUUACUUCCCUGUCAUUUGAGGAUGGUGACUCAGGACUUAUCUGUGCUAUAGGAUUAUUGUGAUAAUGAAUAUGAAGGCGAUUUGAAAAAUGUGUUGAAAGAAAAAAGUCCUUACGGUGGAAGAAGGUAGUUAUAGAUAGAAGGUAAAGCCAUGUGACUGAAAUACCACCACAGGAACAUAUAGGGAGACUAGCAUGAGACUGAAUAAUAGAUCAGAAUCUCACGACAGUUCAUCACAGUCCGGUCUGCCCCUUUGUGAAUUUGGCAGCAUGCACAGCUCCUUAGACCAAAUUCAACCUCUACCUAAAGGUGACAGCAAAGGCCUGCUUCCACCCAACAUGACACCACGAUCUUGGGUUCGACCACCGCAAGCUACCCUGUUCUCCAGAAGAGGAUGCAGGAUCCGUGGGGAAAGUCCACUCUUCUCCCUUGAUAAUCUGGAGCAUAAAUACUGUGAUGUAAAGUUAACUACUAUUGAUCUAUCUUACAUUAGAUGACAAGGGGAUAAUAGAGAAAAGAAAGCAAAGAAAAUAUUCGGUCAACACAUAUACAAACAUAGUCAUAACAAAGUAGGAAGAAAUUCUUGUAACUACUACAGUCCUAGGACCUGCAAUGGGUCACACGGCCGCAGCUGUAUUUGUGACCCUCUUCCACUGUUCAUCCCACAUGGCCUUUGCCCUCAGCAAGCACCUUGGCUGGUGGUGGUCCUUUGCCCGGUAAGUGUCCCAGACCUUCAUUCCUGAAGCAUCCCGGUUAUUUGUAGUGCCCAGGAACCGGAUGGCUGCUGUUCUCCACUGACAUUAAUCCAAGGAUGUGGUGGUACCAAAGGGCAUGAAGCGAUGCCCUGUAUUCCAGACACACUCUUCUUCACCGCCGCUGUGUGGUGCCGUCAGAUUCCGCCCUUGGUGACCAAGGUCGUUCAGCCCAGUCAGUCCCGUAGACCCCUUCUUCGCCUAUUCAGUCAGAGAGAUGAGGAGCUCCAGCAUCCGGCAAGCAGUCUCAUCUGUUGGUUAAAUGGGGUCAUUGUUAUUUUCCUUGAUGGGAACCAUCUUUCUUUGGCAUGAGAGCUUUAGACGGGCAGAGCCUGAGUUCACCAGGAUGGGAGGCAGACACUGCUGGGGGGAUCACUGUUGUCAGGAAUGAGUGAGUCACUCUAUUUCCACGUUUGGUCCCAGAACCUGUGGAUCUGGCCAUGGGAGAGGCAGCACAUACAUCAGAGAGGGCUUCAGAGCCUUUACAGUCCUCCAAAGAACCUCCUGCCAAACUGUUCGCGCCCUAGAGGGUAGAGCCGUCUGGCUGGGGCUGUAAUUAUCUUCAAAAGGACAUUCCACUGUCUUCCCAACCCAGCUGCCUCAGGAGGUGGGCACACAUGGCCAGCGGAUUCCCAGCAAGGGCCCGCUGCCACACUUCAUUCUCUGUGAAGUGAGUUCCUGGACCAGAAGCAGCUGCGUGGGCUCUGGGACGGAGGGCGAGGUGCUCUGGAAGCCGCGGAGAGAACUUCUGGUGGAGGCACUAUGUGCGGGGAAGUUUGGUGGCUCUGGGCGAUCUGUGUCCCCGGGAGUGUCUAUUCCAGGAAGGACAAAAUGCUGCCCCUUCCAGGACGGAAGUGGUUCGACACGAUCAAUUUGUCUUUGGGAGCUGGCUGGUGACCCCGGGGACAGCAGCAUCCCGGGCACUCAGUUCUGGCCUCCACUGCUGGCCGAUUGGGCACUCAGUGAUUACACUUAUGGGCUUCCAUCACAUUUACAAAACACCCUCACAAAAGCACCUAGAUCAGUGCUUGAGUGACUGACUGAGGACGGUUACGAGUCAAGGUAACACAUCAAAAGACCUUCACCGUCCACACCCUGGUUCUUGGAUAUCAGCUCAUGCCCACUAAAGAAAGAUAUGCUUCAUGCUUGGCAUAAAAUGCUGCAGUUUCAAAAAGGCCCUCUGCUAGUUUUUGUGAUGUAUCCUGUAGCAGGUGUUUGCAAUCUGCGACUAUAGAAAGCACACAGGGAAAGAAGCACCUUUCUGGUUGAAACAAACAUUGUGCUCUUGGCUUAGCUUGUAGGUAUAAUGGCUUUAAAACUUCUGCAUGUGCACGCAUGUGUGUGUCUCAUUACUGGGAAUGGGACAAGACUGACCCUGCCAACAGUUUAUGGUGUUCUCUAGGUCUUUUGGACGAUGUUCAAGAACCUUAGGAUGGAAAAAAUGAAGGAUCAUGUGUGGGCCAGGCAGGAUCCAUUAAGCCCUGUAGCUUCAGAGCAAUAAAGUGUGUGGCUGACACAAGAUAAGGAACAUGAGACCCCAGAGACAGAACGGGCACAGGGCCCAUUGCCUGGUCAAUGCUUCCUCCAAGUUAAAAUACCCAGAGACACUUGAUAGGGUGAACCCACAUGAUCUCAUGAUUUCUGGGGUUGUUUUCUGCAUUUUCUCCUUCACUAGAGUGGCCAGGGGAUGGUGCUGUGCUGAGGAAAGGCUGAGGAUUUUGAGACUUGUGGUCCUUUUUUGGAGAUCUGUACCCAAAUCUACAAAUUCUGCAAGCUGAAUUCUCAUCUAACUUCUCCUAGGAAACCUUCCUUAAUAAUUCAUUGUCAUUGUUCUUCUCCUUCUCGAAAUCAUUGGGUCAAGAGAGAGAGUAUUAAUUUCUUACUGCUGGUCUCAACAUCUAGUCUGAAAGCACAAUAUAUAUUUUGAACUGUUCUUAAUAAAUAUUUGUUGAGAGGAUAAUUAUA
Molecule: non-coding RNA, 4054 nt
Organism: Manis javanica (Malayan pangolin)
Lineage: Eukaryota; Metazoa; Chordata; Mammalia; Pholidota; Manidae
Source: RefSeq, a predicted model, not a curated record